Molecule: long non-coding RNA, 1932 nt
Organism: Lolium perenne
Lineage: Eukaryota; Viridiplantae; Streptophyta; Magnoliopsida; Poales; Poaceae
Source: RefSeq, a predicted model, not a curated record
UGAUCGGAGUUGCUACAUCACUGUUAACUGGCAGGACUGGAUCUUACGCUGCCGGACGCGUAGUUCCUCAUGCCACGCCCUGACUCGGCCAGGGCAUGAGCAUGAUGCAUAAUCUGCAUUAGUCAACUGGCCAAGAAAUCAGAACAGAGAAAUAGAGACAACCAGCGGCUCUAGGUCUUGACAAUGUUUCUUCAAGCUCCCCUCCUCGGUCAUGAAUUUUCCACGCCGCCAAAUGAUGCCGUGGACUAAGGAGGUGGCUCUCAUGUGUGUCGUGGUUGUUUGAGGUGAUAAUGCAUCGAUAAAGGUAUCCAAUUCAGGCUUGGUUUGAAGGUAGCGACAAUGGUACAGAGAAGACGCGGAGACAAAGUUAUAUACUCAGCAAUCAGCAUAGGAUUCACGGAUCAAUGGCCGUCAGGGCAUCGUGUGAUACGUGUUCACAUAUAUAGGGACCUGCUCGAUCUUGCACUGCCGGACGAGAAGUUACUGAUGCCAGACCGCGAUCUGCAUCCGUCAACUGGCCAGGAAAUCAGGGUAUAUGUGCGUGCAUGUGCAUAUUGAUGUUGAGAUUAAACAAGACAAACCAAGUUAUGGUCUAAACACGUUCACUGCUAGCUAUGAGGCAACACUCCUCUGCAUACGUGCAACCAUACAUUGUCAGUGGUGAUCCUUAGUGCUGCGGGGCUUUGAUGCAGCUGCUGAAACACCAGAGCAAACGAAGGAUUCUGAACAUGAAGGGACGAACAAGGGCGAGUGAUUUCUUUAUUUGGCAUCAUAUUUGAUUGAUUAUUUCCUCACAUGCCGACCGUGAUUUGAUUAAAUUUUCUUCCAAGGUUUAUAAACGGUUGGAUUUGUUUUUCGGGCACAUCAUGCUCUCAUAAGUCCUAAAUGUGAUCAUAUUACUGAAAGGCCACGACAAAGAUACAACCAACUAUUUUCCCAUACUUUCUAUCAACGGUAAUUCUCCCUAAGCUUUCCUGUACUGAUUGGAUUCGGUCUCUUCGUGGGUUUAUCGCCAUAUUUGUCUACUUUUGUGCAAUUCUUCCUAAAAAAUGAUGAAAAGAAAUCUUCGGGGGCUCAGCAGUACCCCACCCCAAUAAAUGCGGGUUAGGAUUUUCAUAUUCUUGCAAGAUUUUCUCAGUUUAUUUCCAUUUCAGUUAGUUGACAAACAUGCAAGCAAACUAUGUACAACAUCGAUAUUGGUAUUGAUUUUCUAGAGAAUUGUGAGCAUGUAUUUUUAAUGAUGAGCAUUACUUUGAAGUUUUUCCUGAUGUUCUUCCUUUACUAAAGUUGACAGGGAAAAUACCAUAACCUGUGUUAAGGUUAAACAAAAGUACAGGUAAGAUCUAUGAUGGUAAUAUUCCUAAUUGCAUAAUCCUUAAUUUUGGCUCUUUAAAUGGCAAACGUAUAUACGUACACACUGGUGAAGCUGAGUUGCAACAAUUUAUAUAUGAUAGGUUAUUGAUUGGGACACAAUUAGAGAUAUUUCAGUCAUGAGCAUUCACAAGAUAUACAUUCAUGGAUGUUAAAAGAAGAGGAAAGAUGGAGAUAACAAAAGAGAAAAUAAGCAAACGGUUAGGAGAAAUUUUGAUCAUGAUAAUGGGAAACAACUAAGAUAAGAGAGUGCGACACAAUUAGAUAUGAGCACGGUAGUUUUAGCAAACCCGGACCAGUAAGAUGGAGACUGAAAUAAGUAUAGUCUUGCCUCUUGAUUGAGAAGAUGUAAACUUCAAGGGAACCUUAUCUCCAGGAUAAUCAGCUAUGUUUUCAAGCCUUUAACCUCUAGGCAGCAUCAUUGUAUAUGUUGUAUGUUCAUUGAAUGUAUGUAGAUUUUUGUUGCUGAGCAGCCAAUUAUGGUAAAUUUAAUCGACCAAAAAACCAAGAAUGUACACUUGGAACAAAAAAAACUUAAUUAUAAAGAAGCUAGGCGCGCAA